This is a long non-coding RNA of Amphiprion ocellaris (clown anemonefish), 882 nucleotides long. NCBI's taxonomy places the organism in Eukaryota, Metazoa, Chordata, Actinopteri, Pomacentridae. The record is from Ensembl.
AUGGUAUUUACGCAGCUAAUCAACGUCAUUGACAGGCGUCCUUAUGUGCAGCCACCGUUGUUGUCAUAGAUAUGAAUGAGUAGAUAGGACACGCCCCUUUGAGCUGCGUGCUACAGCGAGGCUAAGCUAGUGGGGGCAAAGUUUCAGUGCAUUCCGUUGAUGUAGACAGCGUGAAAACGGAAACAACAAGUAUGCCGGCUCACUGUGCUGCAUACAAUUACACACUACGUCAUACGAUUGAGACAAGGAAACUUGGAAUGACUUUUCAUAGGUCCCUCUCUAUCUCCCCACACAUCCACCAACCACUGGAACACAUCUCCAAAGUUCUGCUGGGCCAGCUCAGCUUCCCCUCAGAAGAAGUGGCGCCACCUGCCAGAUGAAGGAGCCUUUCGAGAGGCAGCUGGCAUCGUGAUUGGACUGUACUUUGGUCUGUUGCAAUCCAGCUUCAGCUCCAGAGACGGCAGGCGGGACGAGUCAACGGAGGCCGGAUGGACGAAGGCAUGCAGCUGAGUACAAUCCAGAAAACAACAGAGGAGGAGUGCAGGGCCAGAACAACCAGAGUAGCAUCGUAUGUCUCUUAAAAAACAUCAUAGUAUAGCUUUUGGUAUGAAAAAACGGCAUAAUAUACAUCAUAUAUUGUACAAAUAACAAGUCAAAGCAAAGAGACAUACAUUGUAGAAUUGCAGUAAUUGUGGGCUGACUGGCCUUGGCAAUGGUCGUCGGAAUGUGAAUAACACUGACCACACCUCACAGAGGUUAUAAGCUGAGGCAACAUCAACCACCACCAGAACUGAAGAAGCAUCUUGGAUGAGAGGUGAAACGUCUUCAAGGAACCUUCUUAAAGUCCAGUUGGAUUGAUUUAAACAACUUUGGAUGACUGAU